GGUGACCCUCAAGAGGAUAAGACUGACAUCUUUGACUUUCCCAUCCCUUCAAGAAACAUUGAUAAAACCAUUAAACGAAAGAAGAAAAAGUGCAAAGUCUGGCACAAGGUCUGGAAAGUGAUUUCAAAAAUGCUUGAGGAAAAUGAAAGGCUCAGAAGUCGACUGUUGAUCUGCAGCCAGUUAGAUGGAGGAGGCUCUGGCAGGAUCCAGAGGUCACAGAAUGGAGCAUACCUGGACACGGAUGAGUCCAUCUUUGGCUGGGUGUAGCAAGGAAAUAAAAGAAGAUUCAGCCCCAGAGGAAAUAUAAACAAAGUGAAAGCUUUUAUUUUGAUCUAGUUCUUCCUGGAGUCAGUGCAAGAUUGCAAAGUGACUUCA
Non-coding RNA from Lonchura striata (white-rumped munia), 375 nucleotides. Lineage: Eukaryota; Metazoa; Chordata; Aves; Passeriformes; Estrildidae. The record is from RefSeq and is a predicted model, not a curated record.